UUGGGCAGAGAUAGUCAGGUUAAUCUUUUACUUCAUGCUAUUGCCUAAAAUCAAACAAUUCUGAUUGACGUAGCUUCAACAAACACCCACACACUGGAGAUGACCAUUUCUGGAGAGUCUAGAAACUCUGUGCAACGCAGACAGGAGGAAAGCUGUCGGGCACAGAGGGAGGGGAGCGAGCAGAGAGUGUCCAACCCAACCUGCAUCAACAACAUCUGGACAUGGUAUGUCUGCCGCUUCUCAGGAAUGACACUGGAGGAAAACCAAGAGUCCCACCCUUGCAGGCUGUGUCUCCCUUUUUCCUGAUCUUUGCCAUCACUCAGUAUGUCAAAACCUCAUGGAAGAUUUCAGGCAAUCUACGUCAAGGUGAUAUUAAUAAUGGUCUACCCAUAAAUCAUUUUGGGAACAAAGCUUGGAGACAGCUCUGGACAGAAGGAUGAAAAUUGGGCCCCUGACGAAAACAAGCAGCUCUUGGGUUUAUAUAAAAAA
Long non-coding RNA from Larimichthys crocea (large yellow croaker), 489 nucleotides. RefSeq lists it as uncharacterized. The transcript is spliced from 2 exons. NCBI's taxonomy places the organism in Eukaryota, Metazoa, Chordata, Actinopteri, Sciaenidae. The record is from RefSeq and is a predicted model, not a curated record.